GAAGUUCGCCAGGCAGUCGCCGCGCGCGGGUUGCGCGGAGGAAAGUCCGGGCCCCGCAGAGCAGGAUGCCGGCUAACGGCCGGGCGUCGCGAGGCGACGGAAAGUGCAACAGAAAACAAACCGCCGAUGGCCCGCGCAACGCGGGAUCAGGCAAGGGUGAAAUGGCGGGGUAAGAGCCCACCGCGGGACUGGCGACAGUCCCGGCACGGCAAACCCCAUCCGGGGCAAGGCCAAAUAGGGGGGCAUGGCGUGGCUCGCGCCGCUCCCGGGUAGGCUGCUGGAGCGCCGCGGCAACGCGGCGCCAAGAUGAAUGAUUGCCCGGUGUCCUUCGGGACAUUCGACAGAACCCGGCUUAUCGGCGAACUUCCCGC
This 371-nucleotide RNase P RNA is filed under the name Azoarcus sp. RNAcentral's name for it is "RNase P RNA component class A". It matches the Rfam family "Bacterial RNase P class A". From Rfam's summary of the family: Ribonuclease P (RNase P) is a ubiquitous endoribonuclease, found in archaea, bacteria and eukarya as well as chloroplasts and mitochondria. Lineage: Bacteria; Pseudomonadati; Pseudomonadota; Betaproteobacteria; Rhodocyclales; Zoogloeaceae. The record is from RNAcentral.